GAUUGACCUCGGAUCAGGUAGGGAUACCCGCUGAACUUAAGCAUAUCAAUAAGCGGAGGAAAAGAAACCAACAGGGAUUGCCUCAGUAACGGCGAGUGAAGCGGCAACAGCUCAAAUUUGAAAUCUGGUCCUUUCAGGGCCCGAGUUGUAAUUUGUAGAGGAUGUUUCGGGUGCGGCGCGGGUCUAAGUCCUUUGGAACAGGGCGUCAUAGAGGGUGAGAAUCCCGUAUGUGACCCGUGAUCAAGCCCAUGUGAAACCCCUUCGACGAGUCGAGUUGUUUGGGAAUGCAGCUCAAAAUGGGUGGUAAAUUUCAUCUAAAGCUAAAUACCGGCCAGAGACCGAUAGCGCACAAGUAGAGUGAUCGAAAGAUGAAAAGCACUUUGGAAAGAGAGUCAAAAAGUACGUGAAAUUGUUGAAAGGGAAGCGCUUGCAACCAGACCUGUCCGCAGGCGAUCAACUCCCGUUCUCGGGGGUGCACUCGUCUGUGAUCAGGCCAGCAUCGGUUCGGGCGGUCGGAUAAAGGCCUUGGGAAUGUAGCUCCUUCCGGGGAGUGUUAUAGCCCUCGGUGCAAUGCGGCCAGCCCGGACCGAGGACCGCGCCUUCGGGCUAGGAUGCUGGCGUAAUGGUUGUAAGCGACCCGUCUUGAAACACGGACCAAGGAGUCUAACAUCUAUGCAAGUGUUUGGGUGUCAAACCCAUACGCGUAAUGAAAGUGAACGGAGGUGAGAACCCUUAAGGGCGCAUCAUCGACCGAUCCAGAUGUCUUCGGAUGGAUUUGAGUAUGAGCAUAGCUGUUGGGACCCGAAAGAUGGUGAACUAUGCCUGAAUAGGGUGAAGCCAGGGGAAACCCUGGUGGAGGCUCGCAGCGGUUCUGACGUGCAAAUCGAUCGUCAAAUUUGGGUAUAGGGGCGAAAGACUAAUCGAACCAUCUAGUAGCUGGUUCCUGCC
Molecule: ribosomal RNA, 948 nt
Filed under: Cladonia gracilis
Lineage: Eukaryota; Fungi; Ascomycota; Lecanoromycetes; Lecanorales; Cladoniaceae
Description: eukaryotic LSU rRNA
Rfam family: Eukaryotic large subunit ribosomal RNA
Source: RNAcentral